UUGAGCAGAUCUGUCGUCUCUUCUGUCGUGUGUGGUGGUUUUUCGUGCCAGUCGGCAGCCAUUCUUGUUAACUCUCACAUUUGGUGGCUUGGGAGAAGAAAGUACGAAUAAACAACGAAGGAAAACCGAAGAGAUCCAAGCACUAAGGCGUGCACGAACUUAAUAGAAAACAGGUGGUGGUGCAUGGAGCGCCAAAUCCCAAGCACGCACUCGACCAGACGCAACUUCGUCCUCCACCUGUCGGAAUACAUCUGGCGCACCUGUGUCGUUGGAGACAAUCGAUCGUUCGAGUAUCUGAUACAUUCGAUUGCCCGACUAUACCCUUUGUAGCUCUCCAAGCAAGUUGAUGAAAACCAGGGGGAUAAAUAGUGAGUGCCCACUGUCAAGGUAAAA
RNAcentral lists this long non-coding RNA (393 nucleotides) under Haliotis rubra (blacklip abalone). RNAcentral's name for it is "uncharacterized LOC124287190, transcript variant X2". The record is from RNAcentral. Lineage: Eukaryota; Metazoa; Mollusca; Gastropoda; Lepetellida; Haliotidae.